Non-coding RNA from Penaeus vannamei (Pacific white shrimp), 397 nucleotides. Lineage: Eukaryota; Metazoa; Arthropoda; Malacostraca; Decapoda; Penaeidae. The record is from RefSeq and is a predicted model, not a curated record.
UUGCAGGCAGCUCCGACCCUUCAUCUCUCGGGCGAAGAAAUCCCCUUCGUCUUCCCCGAGCUGCGUCCUGCGUGACAGAGUCUCCCAGCGAGUGAUGCGAGGACCUGAACAGCCUGGAGUGUGUGGGUAGCAUGGCCCUCGAACCGACAGACUGAUUUUAUCAUGACGAGAAGGGAAAGUGGGUUUCGGACUAUAAACUGCACCUGAUGACAUCUUGGCUUCGCUAUAACGAGCUUUCUUAUAGGUAGUGUACUGAGAGGAUUUGCAGAAGGGAUUAUAUUGAUUUUCCUGAUAAGAAAUAAAGGAGGAACGGUUGUUUGGAUAAUUGUAUCGCCUUUGUAAGACUAUUUCUGUUUUAUUUUCUUUCCUUCCGAGAAGUGCUUUAAAUAGAAAGAAA